CACAGGCUGCAAGCCAGUCUGAGUACAAGAACCAGAAGCCAACAACAAAGCAUCUAUGUAGCGCAAAUUUCCCGACCCAUACAAUAUUACUGAACAUAAAAUAGUCAUUCCUAUUAUAAAAGAAUCUUGAACAAAGUUAGGCUUGAAAAGAAGUUUUUCACAUACAAUGGUAUUCAAGGAACCGGAACCGUUUGUAGAAAAACCCGAUAACUGCAUGAUAAAAUCUGUAUAAUAUUUUCCU
Schizosaccharomyces pombe (fission yeast) is the source of this 241-nucleotide non-coding RNA. NCBI's taxonomy places the organism in Eukaryota, Fungi, Ascomycota, Schizosaccharomycetes, Schizosaccharomycetales, Schizosaccharomycetaceae. The record is from the annotation of a GenBank genome assembly.